This 75-nucleotide transfer RNA is filed under the name Marinilabilia rubra. RNAcentral describes it as "Marinilabilia sp. WTE tRNA-Glu". It matches the Rfam family "tRNA". From Rfam's summary of the family: Transfer RNA (tRNA) molecules are approximately 80 nucleotides in length. The record is from RNAcentral. Lineage: Bacteria; Pseudomonadati; Bacteroidota; Bacteroidia; Marinilabiliales; Marinilabiliaceae.
GGUCCCUUCGUCUAGUGGUUAGGACGCCAGGUUUUCAUCCUGGAAACAGGAGUUCGAUUCUCCUAGGGACUGCAA